RNAcentral lists this ribosomal RNA (460 nucleotides) under uncultured bacterium. Its description in RNAcentral is "partial 16S ribosomal RNA". It matches the Rfam family "Bacterial small subunit ribosomal RNA", at positions 338 to 795 of the family's 1533-position model. The record is from RNAcentral.
CCUACGGGUGGCAGCAGUGAGGCAUAUUGGUCAAUGGACGAGAGUCUGAACCAGCCAAGUAGCGUGAAGGAUGACUGCCCUAUGGGUUGUAAACUUCUUUUAUAUGGGAAUAAAAUGUUCCACGUGUGGGAUUUUGUAUGUACAAUAUGAAUAAGGAUCGGCUAACUCAGUGCCAGCAGCCGCGGUAAUACGGUGGGUCCGAGCGUUAUCCGGAUUUAUUGGGUUUAAAGGGAGCGUAGGUGGAUUGUUAAGUCAGUUGUGAAAGUUUGAGGCUCAACCGUAAAAUGGCAGUUGAAACUGGCAGUCUUGAGUACAGUAGAGGUGUGCGGAAUUCGUGGUGUAGCGGUGAAAUGCUUAGAUAUCACGAAGAACUCCGAUUGCGAAGGCAGUUCACUGGACUGCAACUGACACUGAGGCUCGAAAGUGUGGGUAUCAAACAGGAUUAGAUACCCGGGUAGUC